AUGAUUUGCAAGUGGAGACCUCUGAGCAACUUGGUAAAGAAAGCAGGGCUUGGCCUUCGCCCGGGAGGCUUGGGACCCCUGACCACCCCCUACCCCAUCACCAAUAAACCUCUCAGAAGGAGGAAUUCUGUGACAGCCCUCAGAAGAGAGUGGCUAUCCACUGGCCACAGCGAUGACUAAAGCGAGGUUCAUGCCACAGAAGAACACAAAGGUCACCAAAGCUGUCUAAAGCAGACACUGAAUUUAUUAUUCGCCGAAGAAGGGGAGACACUCAUUUCGUUAAGAAAGGUCAGAACAGCUCUCCAAACUGAAGGUGAAUAGGACAGAUACACUGUGGAAAAGAGGACAUUUUGUUCAAAGGUCUGAUUGGCUCAAAAAGCAAGUUGUAAACUCUCUUCUGGGACUGACUGCUUUUCUGACUUUGUGUCACAGAGGCAUGAGAACAGCUCGUGGGAGAUUCUGGAUGGAUCUGACCUGUGGUGCACGGCCCUGGCAGCCUGGUGUCUGUGCCUCCUCUCGAGGGAUUCCUGAGCCCUGGCUUGUUCUU
RNAcentral lists this long non-coding RNA (547 nucleotides) under Homo sapiens (human). Its description in RNAcentral is "HSALNT0187355". Lineage: Eukaryota; Metazoa; Chordata; Mammalia; Primates; Hominidae. The record is from RNAcentral.